UACGUAGGGGGCUAGCGUUGUCCGGAUUGAUUGGGCGUAAAGAGCGUGUAGGCGGCCAGGUAGGUCUGGUGUGAAAACUCGAGGCUUAACCUCGAGAUGUCAUCGGAAACCAUCUGGCUAGAGUCCGGAAGAGGAGAGUGGAAUUCCUGGUGUAGCGGUGAAAUGCGCAGAUAUCAGGAAGAACACCAAUGGCGAAAGCAGCUCUCUGGGACGGUACUGACGCUGAGACGCGAAAGCGUGGGGAGCGAACAGG
Molecule: ribosomal RNA, 253 nt
Filed under: uncultured bacterium
Lineage: Bacteria
Description: partial 16S ribosomal RNA
Rfam family: Bacterial small subunit ribosomal RNA
Source: RNAcentral